Molecule: long non-coding RNA, 1253 nt
Filed under: Anas platyrhynchos platyrhynchos (common mallard)
Lineage: Eukaryota; Metazoa; Chordata; Aves; Anseriformes; Anatidae
Description: lncRNA (ENSAPLG00000018577.1)
Source: RNAcentral
GCGAUGAGCAACAUCAGCUUCCUUUGGGACGUGCUGCCACAGCGCUUACGACAGCUGUGAGGUGUUAUGCCAGAUGGAAGGAAACAUUGUCCUGAUGCAGAAGCACCUAAGAGAGCUUCACCUCUGCCACCCAAAAGCUGGCAGGACCCAGAGAGCCAAAAAGAAGAGAAAGGUGGAAGACAUGGAAGAGGGGGAGAGCAUUUGCUCCACCUGCUUGGACAGCCACGGCUCCCAGGAGGCUCUUGGAGGGAAUCGGGGGAUUGCUCCCCAGUGAAUAACGUGUAUGAAGUAAAACAACAGAGGUUGCCUGUAUUGCCUUCAUCCAUCCCUGGUAUGCACAUCCUCUGGGAAAGUGGGAGAGAAGAAGGACAGAGAAAAAGAACAAGAGAGUGUAUCAUCAGUUCUGAUGAGAAUUCAGCUCCAGGCAGUGAAGUGUUUUCUGCCUGCCCUAUCACAGAUGUUACGGGGUGCCUUUCCUGGAGGAGCUUCCAUUGCUGAGAGCGUCGUGAUGCCAGCUGAAAUCUUGUCCUACUAUAUCACAGCAGGGAAAGAAAAGAAACAGUGCAAGUAAAUGAAGUGAGGAAUGUUUGUGAACUAAAUGUGAUAUAAAGAAAUGAAUUUCUGACUCAGCAGCUUGAAUUGCUGGAAGUGUUUCUAUAUGAGAACCAAAUGCCAGAGAUGACCUUGUCAAUAAUGAAUCCUAGCUAUAAACACUCUCAUAUAUAUAUUUGGAGCAUGGUGUAUUCUUCAAAAGAGUUGAACUAAUCAGUAAGCAAGCACACUCCUUCAAAAAUUGUAUGUGCUAGUGUAGGUUUAUUCUCCUUCUCAAAGGCAAGAAGGAAAUAGCAAAUGGCCUCUGAGAUAAUUUUAAGAGUUACCUAGCUGUUCGUUUGAUUUCCACUUCAUGAAAACUUAUGUUGUCUUUGCUACUUGUCUAUGAUGUAUCAACCCAUUGGUUUUACUGGUUGAUUCAAAAGACAAAGUGAAGCCUUGGCCAUCCUCCUAGAGGGAGAAGCAUUGGGAAGGCUAUGAACCAUGUUUGGCUCUUGCUUUGUUGACCAAUUCUCACUAUGUGCUUUGGUGCUUAUAUACACUUUGGGUACAAUGCCAUCAUGGCAGCAGUUUCAUUUAGUACUUCUCAGGAGUUCUUCAGUAACAUAACUGGGAGCAACUAUAGCAGUUAUUUUACUGUAUUCUUGGAAAAGAUUUGGACAAAUUGGCUCACAAUAUAUGUACUAAUGGUGUAGUUUAGC